CCUACGGGAGGCUGCAGUGAGGAAUAUUGGUCAAUGGACGAGAGUCUGAACCAGCCACGUCGCGUGAAGGAUGACUGCCCUAUGGGUUGUAAACUUCUUUUAUAUGGGAAUAAAAUGUUCCACGUGUGGGAUUUUGUAUGUACCAUAUGAAUAAGGAUCGGCUAACUCCGUGCAAGCAGCCGCGGUAAUACGGAGGAUCCGAGCGUUAUCCGGAUUUAUUGGGUUUAAAGGGAGCGUAGAUGGGUAGUUAAGUCAGUAGUGAAAGUUUGCGGCUCAACCGUAAAAUUGCAAUUGAUACUGGCAGUCUUGAGUGCAGUUGAGGUAGGCGGAAUUCGUGGUGUAGCGGUGAAAUGCGUAGAUAUCACGAAGAACUCCGAUUGCGAAGGCAGCUUACUAAACUGCCACUGACAUUGAUGCUCGAAAGUGUGGGGAUCAAACAGGAUUAGAUACCCUAGUAGUC
RNAcentral lists this ribosomal RNA (460 nucleotides) under uncultured bacterium. RNAcentral describes it as "partial 16S ribosomal RNA". It matches the Rfam family "Bacterial small subunit ribosomal RNA", at positions 338 to 795 of the family's 1533-position model. The record is from RNAcentral.